RNAcentral lists this ribosomal RNA (897 nucleotides) under uncultured Pseudomonas sp. RNAcentral's name for it is "bacterial SSU rRNA". It matches the Rfam family "Bacterial small subunit ribosomal RNA", at positions 64 to 955 of the family's 1533-position model. Lineage: Bacteria; Pseudomonadati; Pseudomonadota; Gammaproteobacteria; Pseudomonadales; Pseudomonadaceae. The record is from RNAcentral.
GAGCGGUAGAGAGAAGCUUGCUUCUCUUGAGAGCGGCGGACGGGUGAGUAAUGCCUAGGAAUCUGCCUGGUAGUGGGGGAUAACGUUCGGAAACGGACGCUAAUACCGCAUACGUCCUACGGGAGAAAGCAGGGGACCUUCGGGCCUUGCGCUAUCAGAUGAGCCUAGGUCGGAUUAGCUAGUUGGUGAGGUAAUGGCUCACCAAGGCGACGAUCCGUAACUGGUCUGAGAGGAUGAUCAGUCACACUGGAACUGAGACACGGUCCAGACUCCUACGGGAGGCAGCAGUGGGGAAUAUUGGACAAUGGGCGAAAGCCUGAUCCAGCCAUGCCGCGUGUGUGAAGAAGGUCUUCGGAUUGUAAAGCACUUUAAGUUGGGAGGAAGGGUUGUAGAUUAAUACUCUGCAAUUUUGACGUUACCGACAGAAUAAGCACCGGCUAACUCUGUGCCAGCAGCCGCGGUAAUACAGAGGGUGCAAGCGUUAAUCGGAAUUACUGGGCGUAAAGCGCGCGUAGGUGGUUUGUUAAGUUGGAUGUGAAAUCCCCGGGCUCAACCUGGGAACUGCAUUCAAAACUGACUGACUAGAGUAUGGUAGAGGGUGGUGGAAUUUCCUGUGUAGCGGUGAAAUGCGUAGAUAUAGGAAGGAACACCAGUGGCGAAGGCGACCACCUGGACUAAUACUGACACUGAGGUGCGAAAGCGUGGGGAGCGAACAGGAUUAGAUACCCUGGUAGUCCACGCCGUAAACGAUGAGUGCUAAGUGUUAGGGGGUUUCCGCCCCUUAGUGCUACAGCUAACGCAUUAAGCACUCCGCCUGGGGAGUACGGUCGCAAGACUGAAACUCAAAGGAAUUGACGGGGGCCCGCACAAGCGGUGGAGCAUGUGGUUUAAUUCGAA